GUUUCAGGUGACGAUAGGCAGCUGCUCCAGUCUUUUGGUCUCACGCUGCGUUUCAGGGUUGGCUGUCGUAUCUGUGCAUACAUACGUUCCCGUGCAAAACGUGUAUAAACAGGCGUGUGUGUGUACGGUAGAUACAUAUUUUUUUGAUAUGAUUUGAUUUAUGUAUAAUAGCGCAUAUAAAGCUUUUCAAGGUGGCUGCAAUGUAAAAAGUAAUGACUUUAUUACCUCUGAAAGGUUCUGUGGUUCACAUUUAACAGUCCUCUGAAUUACAAUUCAUUACAGUUGUGCGCUCUCUAAAGCCAACAUACAUCAGAACACCUAUCUGUGGUUAUUUCCAGUAAAUAACAGGCAACAUUUUAUUGAUUUUCUUUAAAAAAUCAUAGCAAAUUAAGCACUUAGUUACAAGUAAAUCUGUUUUAUUAUUGCACUAUAUUUGAGAUUCCAGAGGUGACCUCCUAGACCGCAUCUUAAAACAUACAUUCAAAAGCUAAUUUCACAGAUGCUUUCGUGAAUGGCAGCGAGAAUGUUUCUACCAUUAGUAUGCCCUUAAUUCCAGCAUCAUAAAAAGCCUCGAAUUAAAUGGAAACUCGCUCCCUUAAAACAGUAUUUCAUCCUGUCUGGAUAAUUAUUAAUAUUGGCAUUUGAUCACAAUAGUGCCGUGCUCCCCCUGCGCCCCCCCUCAGCACUUUGCAUUGUCAUGUGAUUGGAGGGAGAUAACAAACCUCAAGAAAGAAAAGGAGUCAGAAGACAUUUUUAACAUGCUCUAACCACAGAUUAAUAAUCGAGUCCCACAGGAUGCUCCGCAAUCUUGCUGCAACAGUUUGAGCUGCUGUCAUCUUAGCCACUCUUUCGCCAGAGACUCCCGGCCCCAGAGCAACGGCAGCGUGAGGAAAUGUGGCCCCACAUCUCAGCUGCAUCUGGGCAAACUCUGAGCUACAGAUGGGAGGGGAGAGCAUCGCUGGAGCGCAGGCAGCCGCUCACCCCAAAUAGCCCGGCUCAGGCACGCAGAGGAUGCGAACUGGAAGAUCUUGACUUGGACUGA
Molecule: long non-coding RNA, 1042 nt
Filed under: Struthio camelus australis
Lineage: Eukaryota; Metazoa; Chordata; Aves; Struthioniformes; Struthionidae
Description: lncRNA (ENSSCUG00000011146.1)
Source: RNAcentral